Molecule: ribosomal RNA, 650 nt
Filed under: uncultured Pseudomonadota bacterium
Lineage: Bacteria; Pseudomonadati; Pseudomonadota
Description: bacterial SSU rRNA
Rfam family: Bacterial small subunit ribosomal RNA
Source: RNAcentral
CGAACGGUAACAGGAAGAAGCUUGCUUCUUUGCUGACGAGUGGCGGACGGGUGAGUAAUGUCUGGGAAACUGCCUGAUGGAGGGGGAUAACUACUGGAAACGGUAGCUAAUACCGCAUAACGUCGCAAGACCAAAAAGGGGGACCUUCGGGCCUCUUGCCAUCGGAUGUGCCCAGAUGGGAUUAGCUAGUAGGUGGGGUAACGGCUCACCUAGGCGACGAUCCCUAGCUGGUCUGAGAGGAUGACCAGCCACACUGGAACUGAGACACGGUCCAGACUCCUACGGGAGGCAGCAGUGGGGAAUAUUGCACAAUGGGCGCAAGCCUGAUGCAGCCAUGCCGCGUGUAUGAAGAAGGCCUUCGGGUUGUAAAGUACUUUCAGCGGGGAGGAAGGGAGUAAAGUUAAUACCUUUGCUCAUUGACGUUACCCGCAGAAGAAGCACCGGCUAACUCCGUGCCAGCAGCCGCGGUAAUACGGAGGGUGCAAGCGUUAAUCGGAAUUACUGGGCGUAAAGCGCACGCAGGCGGUUUGUUAAGUCAGAUGUGAAUCCCCGGGCUCAACCUGGGAACUGCAUCUGAUACUGGCAAGCUUGAGUCUCGUAGAGGGGGGUAGAUUCCAGUGUAGCGGUGAAAUGCGUAGAGAUCUGGAGGA